GAUGAACGCUGGCGGCGUGCCUAAUACAUGCAAGUCGAGCGAACAGACGAGGGGCUUGCUCCUCUGACGUUAGCGGCGGACGGGUGAGUAACACGUGGAUAACCUACCUAUAAGACUGGGAUAACUUCGGGAAACCGGAGCUAAUACCGGAUAAUAUAUUGAACCGCAUGGUUCAAUAGUGAAAGACGGUUUUGCUGUCACUUAUAGAUGGAUCCGCGCCGCAUUAGCUAGUUGGUAAGGUAACGGCUUACCAAGGCAACGAUGCGUAGCCGACCUGAGAGGGUGAUCGGCCACACUGGAACUGAGACACGGUCCAGACUCCUACGGGAGGCAGCAGUAGGGAAUCUUCCGCAAAGGGCGAAAGCUUGACGGAGCAACGCCGCGUGAGUGAUGAAGGUCUUCGGAUCGUAAAACUCUGUUAUUAGGGAAGAACAAAUGUGUAAGUAACUAUGCACGUCUUGACGGUACCUAAUCAGAAAGCCACGGCUAACUACGUG
Molecule: ribosomal RNA, 497 nt
Filed under: uncultured bacterium
Lineage: Bacteria
Description: partial 16S ribosomal RNA
Rfam family: Bacterial small subunit ribosomal RNA
Source: RNAcentral